This 610-nucleotide ribosomal RNA is filed under the name uncultured bacterium. RNAcentral describes it as "bacterial SSU rRNA". The stretch from base 1 to 536 matches the Rfam family "Bacterial small subunit ribosomal RNA", at positions 338 to 873 of the family's 1533-position model. The record is from RNAcentral.
CCUACGGGAGGCAGCAGUGGGGAAUUUUGGACAAUGGGGGCAACCCUGAUCCAGCCAUGCCGCGUGAGUGAAGAAGGCCUUCGGGUUGUAAAGCUCUUUCGGCCGGAACGAAAUCGCGCACGUGAAUAACGUGCGUGGAUGACGGUACCGGAGUAAGAAGCACCGGCUAACUACGUGCCAGCAGCCGCGGUAAUACGUAGGGUGCGAGCGUUAAUCGGAAUUACUGGGCGUAAAGCGUGCGCAGGCGGUUCGCUAAGUCAGACGUGAAAGCCCCGGGCUUAACCUGGGAACGGCGUUUGAAACUGGCGGGCUCGAGUACGGCAGAGGGGGGUGGAAUUCCACGUGUAGCAGUGAAAUGCGUAGAUAUGUGGAGGAACACCGAUGGCGAAGGCAGCCCCCUGGGCCGAUACUGACGCUCAUGCACGAAAGCGUGGGGAGCAAACAGGAUUAGAUACCCUGGUAGUCCCACGACCUAACUACUGUCACUAGUAGUCGGGAGACAUCUUAGUACGCAGCUACGACGUGAGUGACGCGNGGAGUACGGUCGCGAGAGUAAACGUACGAAGUAAGUAGUUAGNGUGAGAGUGCGAGGCGACGACGAGGGAGGAGG